Molecule: transfer RNA, 68 nt
Filed under: Chiropotes chiropotes (Red-backed bearded saki)
Lineage: Eukaryota; Metazoa; Chordata; Mammalia; Primates; Pitheciidae
Description: tRNA-Asp
Source: RNAcentral
AAGGUGUUAGUAAAAUAAUUACAUAACUUUGUCAUAGUUAAAGUAUAGACUUGACUCUAUGCACCUUA